Molecule: long non-coding RNA, 1590 nt
Organism: Clarias gariepinus (North African catfish)
Lineage: Eukaryota; Metazoa; Chordata; Actinopteri; Siluriformes; Clariidae
Exons: 2
Source: RefSeq, a predicted model, not a curated record
AUAAAUCUUCCGUAUAUAUUCUUCUCAGUAAUCUUAGCUCAGCUCGGCUCGACGAGGAUCUUCAGGUGUGUGUGUGUGUGUGUGUGAGAACAGAGAAAGCUUCACCAUGAUUAAAGUCGCAGCCAUGUGUCUGAUGCUGUUCGGGGCAGUCAUGCUUCUCUCCACACAGGUUGAUGCUCAACAGAAUGCCACAACCCCAACACCUGAUACUACGACUACUAAUACUACUACGGCUGCUGCUGCCACUAAUAAUACUGCUGUUAUUAAUACUAAUUCUACUGCUAAUACUACUAAUAAUACUAACACUGCUACUACUUCUAAUGCUACUUCUACUACUACUACUACUAUCACUAAUGUUACUGCUUCUAUUACCAAAGAGACUGCUACUAUUAUUACUACUGCUGCUGCUGCUGCUACUUCUACUACACACAGUGCAGCUUCCUCCUCAGGUGCAGGAUGUAUGGUGCUGCCCAGCAUCCUCAGCAUCAUCCUCCCCACCGGCCUGCUCGUGAGUUUGUUUCACAAUCUCCACUGCUGACCCUGUCAUGUUGGCAAGAAUUGUGUAAAGAUGAACGGAGCCACAUAGAAAGAGCUUUCUAAAUUCUUCUUCAGAUCGAGAUGAAUUGCUAUGACCUACCUAAGAUCUUCUUUUAAUGGAUAAAUGCUUUAACGCUUGGAGAUGCUUGAGUCUAAGGAUCUACACAAUGAAACUAUUUUGGAAAUAUUUUAUCCCUAAAAUUAUCAGCUCCUCUGGUGCCCAGGACAUCAAACUGCACUGGUUGAGGCGAAUCAAGGACUGAACUGUUCAUGCUGCAUUCCUGCAAAUUGCAUCAAAUGCUAUUUUAAACAAUAAUGUUAAGUAUAUAUUGUUUUUGUAUUGAUCUUUAAUUUUUCAUAUAAUUCACAAGUGUCCACAUUGGUUUUGCCUUUUGUGCAUUCUGUUGUGCAUUUUUUUUUCAGUUCCUCUUUUCAGUGGUUUGUGACACAGUGUCCUGUCAUUUAACUUCAUCAAGACAUUCACAUUCACCCAUACUCACUCAUCGUCUAUACCGCCUUAUCCUAUGUACAGAGUCACACUGGGCCUGGAGCUUUUUUCCAGGGGGCUUAGGGCAUGAUGCCGGGCACAACCUGGACUUGGGGCAGUCCAUCCCAAGGUGCACACACACACACACACACACACACACACACACACACACACACACUGCAAGCAAUUUGAGAACACCAAUUAACCUAACCUGCAUGUCUUUGGACUGUGGGAGGAAACCGGAGCACCCAGAGGAAUCCCACCAAGAACAAGGAGAACAGAAACACAUGAACACAGUCCCGAGGCGGGAGCAAUAAAUACUCUCCAAUAUAUACAGUAUAUACAGUAUAUCCAUCCAGAUAUUUACUGCUCAUUUCUGCCAUUACCUUAACAACGUAGCACACACAAGGUGGCGCUGUUACCAAGGCAACGUGUUUUAGAUGUGCUACACUUUAACAAUAUGGUGUAACGCUCUCCAAAUCUAUACACAACUCACUAUACAUAUAUUAUUAUCAGUGUAAGUAAAAUUAAUUAUCAGUGUAAAUAAAAGUCUAUUCUCAAUUGCA